This 163-nucleotide ribosomal RNA is filed under the name Boesenbergia ochroleuca. Its description in RNAcentral is "5.8S ribosomal RNA". It matches the Rfam family "5.8S ribosomal RNA". From Rfam's summary of the family: 5.8S ribosomal RNA (5.8S rRNA) is a component of the large subunit of the eukaryotic ribosome. The record is from RNAcentral. Lineage: Eukaryota; Viridiplantae; Streptophyta; Magnoliopsida; Zingiberales; Zingiberaceae.
AAAUGACUCUCGGCAAUGGAUAUCUCGGCUCUUGCAUCGAUGAAGAACGUAGUGAAAUGCGAUACUUGGUGUGAAUUGCAGAAUCUCGUGAACCAUUGAGUCUUUGAACGCAAGUUGUGCCCGAGGCCUUGUGGCCGAGGGCACGCCUGCUUGGGCGUCAUGA